Molecule: ribosomal RNA, 349 nt
Filed under: uncultured Anaerolineaceae bacterium
Lineage: Bacteria; Bacillati; Chloroflexota; Anaerolineae; Anaerolineales; Anaerolineaceae
Description: bacterial SSU rRNA
Rfam family: Bacterial small subunit ribosomal RNA
Source: RNAcentral
UUCGGGAGCUUGUACAGGUGCUGCAUGGCUGUCGUCAGCUCGUGUCGUGAGAUGUUCGGUUAAGUCCGCUAACGAGCGCAACCCUCGCUGUGUGUUACAAGUGUCACACGGAACUGCCGGUCAUAAACCGGAGGAAGGUGGGGAUGACGUCAAGUCAGCAUGGCCUUUAUAUCCUGGGCUACACACACGCUACAAUGGGAAGGGACAAUAGGUUGCGAAGCCGCGAGGCGGAGCCAAUCCAGCAAAACUUCCCUCAGUUCAGAUUGCAGGCUGCAACCCGCCUGCAUGAAGUUGGAGUUGCUAGUAAACGCAGGUCAGCCAUACUGCGUUGAAUACGUUCCCGGGGCUU